UAAAAAUAUUGGCUUUUUCUAAAAUUGUCUAGCUGUUGCAUGGUCCUGCACAAUCCUUCAGAAGUGCAUUUGAGCCAAGCCAUGAGAGGGCGUGGCCUGUACGAGGUGUCCACCCACAUAGAAACGCGUCUCAACUGCAGUCUUCAACCAGCAACGACCUGCAAGCACCGCUGCGUGUGCUUGAUGAGCAGAGGGGCAACGCAGUCACACCCUGUUGCUAAUGAGCCUGAGUGUGAGAAAGUCUGACCAUAGAGAUUCUCACUGCAACUCACGGAUGACUGGGUCCCUGUGGGGGGGGACAUCAAGCCUGCCUGCUCCAGCUCAGUCCAGUCCAAAAGACUACAAUAAAGAAAGAAAUGUUAAGGGAAAGAUGCAGUUUGUGGAUGGGAGGAUGGAAAAGUAUAAAUAAAGUAAUUUCCUCUC
Sander lucioperca (pikeperch) is the source of this 423-nucleotide long non-coding RNA. RefSeq lists it as uncharacterized. The transcript is spliced from 3 exons. NCBI's taxonomy places the organism in Eukaryota, Metazoa, Chordata, Actinopteri, Perciformes, Percidae. The record is from RefSeq and is a predicted model, not a curated record.